UUUUGUUUAUUCUUUUUUUAUUCAUCAAUUCAUUAGACUUUUUAUUUUGUUUUUUUCUUUUAUUUCUUUUAAAAGCUCAGCCAGAGUUGAUCCAGCAUGCGUCAGUGUACCGAGGCAACUCCGGUAAUUCCAUCAGACCAACAAUCUUCAGCGCAAUCUCCACAACUCUAAUGUACUUUCUUGUUCGAAUGCUUUAAACUGAUAGCCUAAAUUAUUUAUUUGUUAGUAUCGAUAAUUUAAUGGAGGGAAGACGAGACGCACAACACUAUUUGU
This is a long non-coding RNA of Papilio polytes (common Mormon), 273 nucleotides long. RefSeq lists it as uncharacterized. NCBI's taxonomy places the organism in Eukaryota, Metazoa, Arthropoda, Insecta, Lepidoptera, Papilionidae. The transcript has 2 exons. The record is from RefSeq and is a predicted model, not a curated record.